UGCCUAUACAUGCAGUCGAACGAACUCUGGUAUUGAUUGGUGCUUGCAUCAUGAUUUACAUUUCAGUUAGUGGCGAACUGGUGAGUAACACGUGGGAAACCUGCCCAGAUGCGGGGGAUAACACCUGGAAACAGAUGCUAAUACCGCAUAACAACUUGGACCGCAUGGUCCGAGUUUGAAAGAUGGCUUCGGCUAUCACUUUUGGAUGGUCCCGCGGCGUAUUAGCUAGAUGGUGGGGUAACGGCUCACCAUGGCAAUGAUACGUAGCCGACCUGAGAGGGUAAUCGGCCACAUUGGGACUGAGACACGGCCCAAACUCCUACGGGAGGCAGCAGUAGGGAAUCUUCCACAAUGGACGAAAGUCUGAUGGAGCAACGCCGCGUGAGUGAAGAAGGGUUUCGGCUCGUAAAACUCUGUUGUUAAAGAAGAACAUAUCUGAGAGUAACUGUUCAGGUAUUGACGGUAUUUAACCAGAAAGCCACGGCUAACUACGUGCCAGCAGCCGCGGUAAUACGUAGGUGGCAAGCGUUGUCCGGAUUUAUUGGGCGUAAAGCGAGCGCAGGCGGUUUUUUAAGUCUGAUGUGAAAGCCUUCGGCUCAACCGAAGAAGUGCAUCGGAAACUGGGAAACUUGAGUGCAGAAGAGGACAGUGGAACUCCAUGUGUAGCGGUGAAAUGCGUAGAUAUAUGGAAGAACACCAGUGGCGAAGGCGGCUGUCUGGUCUGUAACUGACGCUGAGGCUCGAAAGUAUGGGUAGCAAACAGGAUUAGAUACCCUGGUAGUCCAUACCGUAAACGAUGAAUGCUAAGUGUUGGAGGGUUUCCGCCCUUCAGUGCUGCAGCUAACGCAUUAAGCAUUCCGCCUGGGGAGUACGGCCGCAAGGCUGAAACUCAAAGGAAUUGACGGGGGCCCGCACAAGCGGUGGAGCAUGUGGUUUAAUUCGAAGCUACGCGAAGAACCUUACCAGGUCUUGACAUACUAUGCAAAUCUAAGAGAUUAGACGUUCCCUUCGGGGACAUGGAUACAGGUGGGUGCAUGGUUGUCGUCAGCUCGUGUCGUGAGAUGUUGGGUUAAGUCCCGCAACGAGCGCAACCCUUAUUAUCAGUUGCCAGCAUUAAGUUGGGCACUCUUGGUGAGACUGCCGGUGACAAACCGGAAGAAAGGUGGGGGAUGACGUCAAAUCAUCAUGCCCCUUAUGACCUGGGCUACACCCUGGCUACAAUGG
Molecule: ribosomal RNA, 1224 nt
Filed under: Lactiplantibacillus plantarum
Lineage: Bacteria; Bacillati; Bacillota; Bacilli; Lactobacillales; Lactobacillaceae
Description: bacterial SSU rRNA
Rfam family: Bacterial small subunit ribosomal RNA
Source: RNAcentral